RNAcentral lists this ribosomal RNA (454 nucleotides) under uncultured Paracoccaceae bacterium. RNAcentral describes it as "bacterial SSU rRNA". It matches the Rfam family "Bacterial small subunit ribosomal RNA", at positions 9 to 507 of the family's 1533-position model. Lineage: Bacteria; Pseudomonadati; Pseudomonadota; Alphaproteobacteria; Rhodobacterales; Paracoccaceae. The record is from RNAcentral.
GAGUUUGAUCCUGGCUCAGAACGAACGCUGGCGGCAGGCCUAACACAUGCAAGUCGAGCGAACCCUUCGGGGUUAGCGGCGGACGGGUGAGUAACGCGUGGGAACGUGCCCUUUGCUACGGAAUAGCCCCGGGAAACUGGGAGUAAUACCGUAUGUGCCCUUCCGGGGGAAAGAGUUUAUCGGCAAAGGAUCGGCCCGCGUUGGAUUAGGUAGUUGGUGGGGUAAUGGCCUACCAAGCCGACGAUCCAUAGCUGGUUUGAGAGGAUGAUCAGCCACACUGGGGCUGAGACACGGCCCAGACUCCUACGGGAGGCAGCAGUGGGGAAUCUUAGACAAUGGGGGAAACCCUGAUCUAGCCAUGCCGCGUGAGCGAUGAAGGCCUUAGGGUUGUAAAGCUCUUUCAGCUGGGAAGAUAAUGACGGUACCAGCAGAAGAAGCCCCGGCUAACUCCGUG